This 466-nucleotide ribosomal RNA is filed under the name Ehrlichia sp. RNAcentral's name for it is "bacterial SSU rRNA". It matches the Rfam family "Bacterial small subunit ribosomal RNA", at positions 26 to 517 of the family's 1533-position model. Lineage: Bacteria; Pseudomonadati; Pseudomonadota; Alphaproteobacteria; Rickettsiales; Anaplasmataceae. The record is from RNAcentral.
AGAACGAACGCUGGCGGCAAGCCUAACACAUGCAAGUCGAACGGAUAAUUGUUUAUAUCUUUGGUAUAAAUAAUUGUUAGUGGCAGACGGGUGAGUAAUGCGUAGGAAUCUACCUAGUAGUAUGGAAUAGCCAUUAGAAAUGAUGGGUAAUACUGUAUAAUCCCUGCGGGGGAAAGAUUUAUCGCUAUUAGAUGAGCCUACGUUAGAUUAGCUAGUUGGUAAGGUAAUGGCUUACCAAGGCUAUGAUCUAUAGCUGGUCUGAGAGGACGAUCAGCCACACUGGAACUGAGAUACGGUCCAGACUCCUACGGGAGGCAGCAGUGGGGAAUAUUGGACAAUGGGCGAAAGCCUGAUCCAGCUAUGCCGCGUGAGUGAAGAAGGCCUUCGGGUUGUAAAGCUCUUUCAAUAGGGAAGAUAAUGACGGUACCUAUAGAAGAAGUCCCGGCAAACUCCGUGCCAGCAGCCG